UUUUUAGUAUAAAUAUGUCCCAAGUAAUAUUUGGGACAUACAUACACUAAGA
Molecule: microRNA precursor, 52 nt
Filed under: Tupaia belangeri chinensis (Chinese tree shrew)
Lineage: Eukaryota; Metazoa; Chordata; Mammalia; Scandentia; Tupaiidae
Description: Tupaia chinensis (Chinese tree shrew) mir-1302 microRNA precursor family
Rfam family: mir-1302 microRNA precursor family
Source: Rfam by way of RNAcentral